Molecule: ribosomal RNA, 482 nt
Filed under: uncultured bacterium
Lineage: Bacteria
Description: partial 16S ribosomal RNA
Rfam family: Bacterial small subunit ribosomal RNA
Source: RNAcentral
GACGAACGCUGGCGGCGCGCCUAACACAUGCAAGUCGAACGAGAGAGGAAGAGCUUGCUUUUCCGAUCGAGUGGCGAACGGGUGAGUAACGCGUGAAGAACCUGCCUCAAAGAGGGGGACAGCAGUUGGAAACGACUGCUAAUACCGCAUAAGCCCACGGCUCGGCAUUGAGCAGAGGGAAAAGGAGCAAUCCGCUUUGAGAUGGCCUCGCGUCCGAUUAGCUAGUUGGUGAGGUAACGGCCCACCAAGGCGACGAUCGGUAGCCGGACUGAGAGGUUGAACGGCCACAUUGGGACUGAGACACGGCCCAGACUCCUACGGGAGGCAGCAGUGGGGAAUAUUGCACAAUGGGGGAAACCCUGAUGCAGCGACGCCGCGUGGAGGAAGAAGGUCUUCGGAUUGUAAACUCCUGUUGUUGAGGAAGAUAAUGACGGUACUCAACAAGGAAGUGACGGCUAACUACGUGCCAGCCGCCGCAGUAA